Long non-coding RNA from Homo sapiens (human), 1551 nucleotides. RefSeq lists it as uncharacterized. The transcript has 5 exons. The record is from RefSeq and is a predicted model, not a curated record. Lineage: Eukaryota; Metazoa; Chordata; Mammalia; Primates; Hominidae.
UUCUAUAUCUAUUAUGUACAGAUAUGUAAAAAAUAUAGCUUUAAUUGGGAAAAUUUGCACUGGAUGAAGCACUUUAAAAUUCUUCUCCCAUGCCCCAGUACUGUCAAGUUUUUGCCUAGAGCAACGUACUGACUUUUUGAGUUCUGCUGGAUCCUGCCUAGAGAAACCGCUUGUCAUUUCAAAGUUGCAUUUAUAUUUCCAUACACUUUUUGAAUAUUUCGUUUUGGAAAGAGUAACUCCACCUGCUUCUUUUUUCCACAUGUGUACAUCAAAGGUGAAGCUGGGAUGUGUCCUCUUUCCUCUUAACCCCCUAGCUCAGGACCUGGUAAAUACAGCAAACGGGGAGUGAGUUUCUCAAAUGCCUGGCUGUGUCUGCCCUGUGGCUGCCCCGAGAUGGGGUGGUGGAAUAGCAAGAGGAGCCUUGCCAGCCUGCAGGACUCAGGUGCUGCUGAGCCCUCCAGUUACCACGACUACAGCGCUUUCCAGCAGGUUUCUAUAAGACAAGGAUGUUUUGGACAUGUUCAAGCCCCCAGAACUGGCUGCACCCCGUGUGCCUUUCUCUCAGUGCAGCAACUUAUGGGCUAAUAAUGGCCCCUGCCAGAGCAUAUUGUGCUGGGCGGUCACGGGUGGCAGAAACUACUGGCCUCUCUUUUGACAACCCACAGGAAACAUUUGCACCUCCAGCACUUUCCGCUCAAAGUGCUCCAUGGUAGCAACACCUGUGUGUGGUGCAGAAGCUGGGGCUACACUGCUUUAUAACUCGUCUUUCUAUCUGACCUCUGGAGUCCAGUGAAAGACCAAAACUUUACUGCUGUCCAUGUUCGCAUGUAGUAAUGGUGGGAGAACUAAAUGACACUGAAAAUUCUGGAAAUGAGGAGAAACAGACUAAAGCCACGGGCACCGGAUGAAUGAAGAGAGAGAAGAGUGCUUUAGUUGCUUAUACCUCGCUCUGCAUGCAGAACGCCUCCGUCACCGCCUGUUGCACUGUCCUGAUGCUUGUGCUCCCCUACAAGAGGCAGAUGGAACAAAUCUGGGAUGGCUGGCUCACUGUGGCCUGCUGUGCACUGGUGACCACCCUAGUGGCCUUGGCAAACCUGGCCGGCACGGCGCUGACCGUCACCAUCCAGAGGGACUGGAUCGUGAGCUGACGGGUGACAACAGAGGCCAGCUGGUUGGUGAGUGGUACCGCCCUGGGUACUGAUCCUCUAAUCAGCUGAGAAGUAGAGAGCUGACAAGGCAAUCAGGGCUCUGAGAGAGGCUGACAACAGCCUUUAAGAAUAUGUUAUUUGGAGUCAAUGAGACCUGGGUUUGAGUCUGAAUUCAGCUAAAAUCAGCUGUGCCUCUUACUAGAUGCAUACUCCAGGGCAAGUUACGUGACUUUCCUCAUCUGUAUAAUGAGGGAAAUAAAGACACACACACACACACACACACACACACAGCUCAGCUUUGGGAAGGAUUCUAUAAGAUAUAGGAUUUGGAAAGCACUUAACACUAUGUCUGCAUGUAGGAAGUGCCUAAAAAAUGAUUGGUACUGUAUUAUCUAAAGAAUAU